Molecule: transfer RNA, 75 nt
Filed under: Minisyncoccota bacterium
Lineage: Bacteria; Bacillati; Minisyncoccota
Description: tRNA-His
Rfam family: tRNA
About the family: Transfer RNA (tRNA) molecules are approximately 80 nucleotides in length. Their secondary structure includes four short double-helical elements and three loops (D, anti-codon, and T loops).
Source: RNAcentral
GUGCCUAUGGUGUAAUGGUUAGCACCAGGGUUUGUGGAGCCCUUAGUCCGGGUUCGAGCCCCGGUAGGCACCCCA